This 528-nucleotide ribosomal RNA is filed under the name uncultured bacterium. RNAcentral describes it as "bacterial SSU rRNA". It matches the Rfam family "Bacterial small subunit ribosomal RNA", at positions 355 to 899 of the family's 1533-position model. The record is from RNAcentral.
UGGGGAAUAUUGCACAAUGGGCGCAAGCCUGAUGCAGCAAUGCCGCGUGAGUGAAGACGGCCUUAGGGUUGUAAAACUCUUUCGCUAGGGAAGAUAAUGACGGUACCUAGUAAAGAAGUCCCGGCUAACUCCGUGCCAGCAGCCGCGGUAAUACGGAGGGGGUUAGCGUUGUUCGGAAUUACUGGGCGUAAAGCGCACGUAGGCGGACCAGAAAGUUGGGGGUGAAAUCCCGGGGGCUCAACCCCGGAACUGCCUCCAAAACUAUUGGUCUAGAGUUCGAGAGAGGUGAGUGGAAUUCCAAGUGUAGAGGUGAAAUUCGUAGAUAUUUGGAGGAACACCAGUGGCGAAGGCGGCUCACUGGCUCGAUACUGACGCUGAGGUGCGAAAGUGUGGGGAGCAAACAGGAUUAGAUACCCUGGUAGUCCACACCGUAAAACGAUGAAUGCCAGUCGUCGGGUAGCAUGCUAUUCGGUGACACACCUAACGGAUUAAGCAUUCCGCCUGGGGAGUACGGUCGCAAGGUUAAAA